This is a long non-coding RNA of Olea europaea var. sylvestris, 509 nucleotides long. RefSeq lists it as uncharacterized. NCBI's taxonomy places the organism in Eukaryota, Viridiplantae, Streptophyta, Magnoliopsida, Lamiales, Oleaceae. The transcript is spliced from 5 exons. The record is from RefSeq and is a predicted model, not a curated record.
CCGUGCUAAACUCUUGACAGAACUUAGUAGUGCCAAGGAUGUGGUUAUAGAAGAGGGCAGUGCUGGAGAGACAGGAAAAGCAGUCUAUAUUUUGUCUUAGUCCGGCUGGUGACACCCCUUCAUCCGCAAGAUUGUUUGAUGCAAUCAUCAGUGGGUGCAUUCCUGUUGUAAUUAGUGAUGAACUGGAGCUCCCUUUUGAGGGCAUAGUUGACUAUCGAAGGAUAGCUUUAUUUGUUUCUUCUAGCGAUGCAUUGCAGCCAGGAUGGCUCUUGACAUUUCUGCGAAGUGUUAGUCCUGCUCAAAUCAAAGAGAUGCAAUUGAAUUUAGCCAAGCACUCGAGGCAUUUUUUGUAUUCUCACCCAGCUCAACCAAUGGGGCCGGAGGACUUGGUUUGGAGAAUGAUGGCCGGUAAGUUGGUGAACAUGAAGCUCCAUGUACGAAGGUCACAGCGUGUCGUGAAAGAAUCAAGAAGUUUGUGCACUUGUGAUUGUAGACGUCCCAAUAGUACA